Molecule: long non-coding RNA, 565 nt
Filed under: Homo sapiens (human)
Lineage: Eukaryota; Metazoa; Chordata; Mammalia; Primates; Hominidae
Description: novel transcript, antisense to MAPK8IP3
Source: RNAcentral
CACAGUGACUCGGCCUCCAUCGUGCCAACAGGAUGGGCGGAUGCGCAGGCCACAGAGUCCCUGGUUGGUGAGGAAGCUGCCAAUCCUGGUCAUCUCUUGGAGCCGGGCGGGGGUCAGAGUGUGGCUGGAGCACGAUUCACAGCCUCCCAAAGGUGGAAAGCACCAAGCAGGGGCCCAUUAGGGCAAACAGGUGAGCACAACGUGGUCUGUCCAUGCAACGGGCACUACUCAGCAGUGAAAAGCCAGGAGGCACUGACACGCUGCAGCUGGGAUGGACCUUGAAGAUGUGAUGCAACGUUAAAGAAGCCAGGCAGAAAAGGCCCAUUGCUGUGAAACGUCUGGAACAGGCAAAUCUACAGAGACAGAGCAUGGAUUUGUGGUUGCCUGGGGCUGGGGACGAGGGGCAGACAAAGCGACUGCUCAUGGGCACGGGGUUUCCUUUUGGGGGUGAAGACGAUGUGACUGUCAACACCGAGCAUGCUAAGACCCACUGGACUGUACACCGUAAGUGAAUGAAUUACACAGUGUGGAAAUCACAUCUCAAUAGAGCUACUGAACAGCACAG